RNAcentral lists this ribosomal RNA (253 nucleotides) under uncultured bacterium. RNAcentral's name for it is "partial 16S ribosomal RNA". It matches the Rfam family "Bacterial small subunit ribosomal RNA", at positions 524 to 776 of the family's 1533-position model. The record is from RNAcentral.
GACGUAGGGCGCGAGCGUUGUCCGGAUUUAUUGGGCGUAAAGAGCUCGUAGGCGGCUUGUCGCGUCGUCCGUGAAAACUCGGGGCUUAACCCCGAGCCUGCUUCUGAUACGGGCAGACUAGAGGUAUGCAGGGGAGAACGGAAUUCCUGGUGUAGCGGUGAAAUGCGCAGAUAUCAGGAGGAACACCGGUGGCGAAGGCGGUUCUCUGGGCAUUACCUGACGCUGAGGAGCGAAAGUGUGGGGAGCGAACAGG